UCUAGAAUUACCUCUCUUUGGCCUCUUCGCUGGAGGGGGAGCAGCUUCACCACUGGAUGUAUUACACCCGCCUGACACUGAUGUGUUACCUUCAGAUGGCGCCGAAUCAAUUUCGUCAAGAGUGACGUCGGGGAACAGCGCAAGCAACUUCUGGAACUCCUCCAGAAAGUGCACUAGAGGAUGCUGGCUGUACCGUACCUGAAGCUGAAUAGAUGUAGAUCUACAUCUUAUUUAUGUAAUGUCUUCUGUGGUACCUUGAGUCUUGCUUGUUCUGUAUAAGUAGCCAUUAUGUGUUUUUUGUUUG
Molecule: long non-coding RNA, 304 nt
Organism: Halichondria panicea
Lineage: Eukaryota; Metazoa; Porifera; Demospongiae; Suberitida; Halichondriidae
Exons: 2
Source: RefSeq, a predicted model, not a curated record